Molecule: long non-coding RNA, 1177 nt
Organism: Zophobas morio
Lineage: Eukaryota; Metazoa; Arthropoda; Insecta; Coleoptera; Tenebrionidae
Exons: 2
Source: RefSeq, a predicted model, not a curated record
UGUAAUUUAUCGCUCCAGAACGAUCUCGUUCCCAAACGAUAAUCGUUAGAAGCAAUCGUAAAAUCAGUUUAGCGAGAUUGUACAAAUUUCCAAUUUUAUAAACACUAUCGUAAUCGUAAAGCUUUGAAAUCGUUAGCGGAACGAUGAAUCUAAUGUUUUUAGAAUCGGUAGUAUUUAAAUUUGUGUAGCGUCUAGAUUACGUUGUUCUCUGUUGUGACAUGUGACAUUUGUUUUGCUACUGAUUGAAGUUUGGACAAAUUUGUGAACUUUAUAACAUUUUACAAUACGUUCACGGGAGCAAUGGAAAAACGUAAAAGGGCCCAGCGUAUUACCCAAGAGUAACAUGAGUUGUAUGUGGAGCAGUUAGAAGGUAAUGUAGAUUUUAGGCCCCAAAAGUUCGUAGCGGACAAGCCAGAUCUUUUAGAAAAGAUAUGGGAAGGGUUGGUAGCAAAACUAAAUUCUGUGGGAGGACCACAAAAAAGUGUUCAGCAGUUCAGAGAGGUAUGUGUAAUUAAUGAAUCUCCCGAACACUCUUUUUAAAAAUGUGUACUUUACUAUAAUUUAUCGUACAACUAUUAGCAAUUAUUCUGCUUACAUCAACACUUUGGUUAUGACAAAGUAAACAUCUUGUUUAGUCAUGACCAAUCAAUUAUGAGAACUGAGAUGUUUAAUCUUUAUAAAUACUGUUACACAAUAAACCAUAACCUCUGUGUUUUUUAGUACACCAAGAAUAUAACAUAGAGCACUCUAAUUACAAUGUACUGCCUGGUAAGUAAACGUCACUGUGUGUUCCAGAGAUUUGUAGAUUGGAAAUUCAAUGUUUGAAAGAAGGCCAGAAAUUUAAGACUAUGUGAAAGAGGAACUGUUUAAUAAUUUCAUUAUGUUGUAAAAAAAAUAAUAAAUACAUUAUUGAAAAUGCUGUAUUAUUAAAUUAUUUCUUGUGAUAUGCCAUUCAUGUAGUAAAUUGUGUUCUUCAUAUUCAAGUUCUUCAUUAUUAUCGUUCUUCUUGUCAUAGACAAUAUUGAUCUCGUCAUUUUCGAUAUUUCUUAUGCGUAAGAUUGUGUGAAACAGCACAUGAGUAUGUAAUUUUUCCUGCAACUUCUGGUGAAUAAUACAGAACUCUGCGGCAGUAUUUCUGGAAAUGUAUCUCUCGCCGCUUCCCAUUACAGUUGGUAGG